AAGUUAUGAUGUGGGCACUUUCUUAAUAAGUCCUUGAAUCUUGCCCAAGCAUCGUAAAAACUCUCUUGAUCAUGGUGGACAAAGGUCAUUAUCUUGUUCCGCAGUUU
Non-coding RNA from Jatropha curcas, 107 nucleotides. Lineage: Eukaryota; Viridiplantae; Streptophyta; Magnoliopsida; Malpighiales; Euphorbiaceae. The record is from Rfam.